This 497-nucleotide ribosomal RNA is filed under the name uncultured bacterium. RNAcentral describes it as "partial 16S ribosomal RNA". It matches the Rfam family "Bacterial small subunit ribosomal RNA", at positions 28 to 507 of the family's 1533-position model. The record is from RNAcentral.
GAUGAACGCUGGCGGCGUGCCUAAUACAUGCCAGUCGAGCGAACGGACGCUAAUCUUGCUUCUCUGUUGUUAGCGGCGGACGGGUGUGUAACACGUGUAUACCCUACCUAUAUUUCUGGUAUAACUUCGGGAAACCGGAGCUAAUACCGGAUAAUAUUUUGAACCGCAUGGUUCAAUAGUGAAAUACGGUCUUGCUGUCUCUUAUAGAUGGAUCCCCGCUUCAUUAGCUAGUUGGUAAGGUAACGGCUUACCAAGGCAACGAUGCAUAGCCGACCUACGAGGGGGAUCGGCGACACUGGAACUGAGACACGGACAAGACGACUAAGGGAGGGAGCAGUAGGGAAUGGUACGCAAUGGGCGAAAGCCUGACGGAGCAACGCCGCGUGAGUGAUGAAGGUCUUCGGAUCGUAAAACUCUGUUAUUAGGGAAGAACAGAUGUGUAAGUAACUGUGCACAUCGUGACGGUAACGAAUCAGAAAGCCACGGCUAACUACGUG